Molecule: ribosomal RNA, 208 nt
Filed under: uncultured bacterium
Lineage: Bacteria
Description: partial 16S ribosomal RNA
Rfam family: Bacterial small subunit ribosomal RNA
Source: RNAcentral
CGUGUAGGCGGCCGAUUAAGUCUGGAGUGAAAGUCCUGCUUUCAAGGUGGGAACUGCUUUGGAGACUGGUUGGCUUGAGUGCGGAAGAGGUAAGUGGAAUUCCCAGUGUAGCGGUGAAAUGCGUAGAGAUUGGGAGGAACACCAGUGGCGAAGGCGACUUACUGGGCCGUAACUGACGCUGAGGCGCGAAAGCGUGGGGAGCGAACAG